Molecule: long non-coding RNA, 2220 nt
Organism: Motacilla alba alba
Lineage: Eukaryota; Metazoa; Chordata; Aves; Passeriformes; Motacillidae
Exons: 4
Source: RefSeq, a predicted model, not a curated record
CUCUGCACUGAGCAAGUUCUGUUCUGCCCUGAGCUGCUUAUUGACCAGAGCCUGACGGCAAAUGGCAGGAAAACAAUACUGCAGAAUCCCACUUGGAGAACAAAGACUACCCUCACACUAGAACCAAGCUUCAAGAACAAAACUGCUAAACUCACUCAUUUCAGGUCACUACAGGCUUGGAGAAGUUUCACAACAAUAAGGUUGUCUAUAUUCCAUCUGCAGGCAAAGGGAAGAGAAAAGCAUUUCUAAAAGCUGGUUCAUCCCAUCCUGACUGUUUAAUGCAGGAUAACCACAAAAAGGGGUGCAGUGCAAAUGAUGUUUCUGAUCAGCAACAGGUAACACUGCCAGCCAUUGGAUCUUGCUGAAUAUCCACCCAGAGGAUCACCAACAUCUUGGCAAUCUCAUGAGCAAUACUUCAAAGCACAGACUGGCAUGGCACCUUAAGGGUUCAAAUGGUUUGGAAGUGAAAUCGCUUCCAUGGUUUCUGUGAUUUGCAUGUGAAAUUGAUUUUAUUGGAUUUAUUUGAUCAGGAAGCAGAAGUGUUUCCCCAAGGAGUACAAAUAAACACGUUACUAGAAACUGAGUAGAUGUGAUGAACCAUAAAUCUGGGAAGCAGUGGCUGAAUGUUAGCAAAUUUUACAUAACUGCAGUUAUUUUAUAAGGUUUUGAUUUCCUGUAUCAGUUCAUGUUAGAGAAAACCACAACACUUUUAAAGGACAAAUUGAAUGAAAUUCUGGUGGAUGCCAAACCCCAUCAUUUUCAGAAGUACAUUCCUGGCUUUGAAAUCUAUUAAUAUUUUGUACUUGAAACCUAGAGACAUUGCUUCCUCUGACUGAUUAAUAAUUUUCUUUGAAAUGCUAACAUUUAUUAUUUAUCACUGAUCCCUAUUUAAAAGCCCAUUUUUCUCCUUCAGUUAUGACAGUGGAAAGCUCAAAUCUCUUACAACGAAGCCUGUAGUCCUCAGCAGCUCUAAUUGCUUGGUUUUGGUCUGUACCCUCCCUUGCAAUGCAGUGUCUUUAUACAGACAAAACGAAGCAGUACCAGCUGCUGAUGCCCCUGCCAGGCCCUGAGUGGGGAUGUCACACCCCUUGAAGCGAGCUAGGUGAUCCUUAGUGCGUCACCUUCUCACCUCACACCUUCUGUGAUGCCUCUUGUGACCAUGCUAUCAGCUUAAAUGUCCUGAAAAUUACUUUUUUUCCCACUUCUCAUUUCAUAGAAUAAGUAAUGGGAACUUCAAAUGCCCACUUGUUGUGGGCUCCCAUAAUGUCUGUGUGGCUUUGUCUUUUUUUAAAGCCCAUCAGCUCUCCUGGAGCUGCAAGGAGAGGCCAGCUCCAGAGGUCACUUUCAAGCAGAACUGGCUUUUAAUGGCAGAAAAAAUAAGUAGACUGUCAUUAAUUCCUUUCUUAUAAAAAGGAAUUAAUCUCACCUAAAUUUAGUUGGUAAAAAUUAGGUUUCUGGUCCCAGUCUGUUGGCCAGAUCCUUUUCUGGUCAGUGGAGAAGGACAUGCUCUUCCAGAGGCUGAUUUAGUAAGACAAGUCUUGUUCUUGUUUCUUUGUCAAAAAUUUUUUUGAGCUAGGAGUAAUUUUUUUUUUUAAUCAUAGCUGUCUACCAGUUCAAUGUGCAGGAUGAUAAACUGCUUUCAACCGCUAUAAAACAAAUUAAUCAGCCCAGUGUUAGUUCUUAUAUAUGAGUUUGUUCUAAGGAGGAGCCAAAGAUUCCAAAGUUUCAGUGUUACACAAGUCCUUCAAUAAGAUGUGCAGAACUAAACCACAGGUAAUUAGACUUUAAAUUAUCGAAUUUUUUACUAUUCAAGAUGAAAUAUUUUCUUAUGUUUAGAUUUCCAGUUUAGGGGAAAAAUUACUAUUAUUUGCAAGGUCCAAAAUCAAGGCUAAUGUAGCAAGCAAAGUAAAAAAUUCUACAAUUAAAAUUGACACAGUUAUUUAAUGGAAAGAAUUUUGGUUUGGAAAAGUAUCAUUAUUUGCAUAUUUUUUUUCUAUUCACAUAAACAUACAAAAACUCAAGAAAAUAUUCUUGUUGGCCAGGAUGAAGAGUUCUCACAUAAGAAUAGGUAUUACUCUUUGUGACUGUUAGAGUCUUUAAUUGGUGUAUGUAAUUUCAGUUGCUUAGUAACAACAACUUAAGAAUUUCCACACUUCUCUGUGUUUAAAAUCUCAACCUAAAAAUCAGAAAUCUCUUUAGAAAAACAUCCAAAGCAAAAAG